This 555-nucleotide ribosomal RNA is filed under the name Bifidobacterium pseudocatenulatum. RNAcentral describes it as "bacterial SSU rRNA". It matches the Rfam family "Bacterial small subunit ribosomal RNA", at positions 146 to 713 of the family's 1533-position model. The record is from RNAcentral. Lineage: Bacteria; Bacillati; Actinomycetota; Actinomycetes; Bifidobacteriales; Bifidobacteriaceae.
UCUCCUGGAAACGGGUGGUAAUGCCGGAUGCUCCGACUCCUCGCAUGGGGUGUCGGGAAAGAUUUCAUCGGUAUGGGAUGGGGUCGCGUCCUAUCAGGUAGUCGGCGGGGUAACGGCCCACCGAGCCUACGACGGGUAGCCGGCCUGAGAGGGCGACCGGCCACAUUGGGACUGAGAUACGGCCCAGACUCCUACGGGAGGCAGCAGUGGGGAAUAUUGCACAAUGGGCGCAAGCCUGAUGCAGCGACGCCGCGUGCGGGAUGACGGCCUUCGGGUUGUAAACCGCUUUUGAUCGGGAGCAAGCCUUCGGGUGAGUGUACCUUUCGAAUAAGCACCGGCUAACUACGUGCCAGCAGCCGCGGUAAUACGUAGGGUGCAAGCGUUAUCCGGAAUUAUUGGGCGUAAAGGGCUCGUAGGCGGUUCGUCGCGUCCGGUGUGAAAGUCCAUCGCUUAACGGUGGAUCUGCGCCGGGUACGGGCGGGCUGGAGUGCGGUAGGGGAGACUGGAAUUCCCGGUGUAACGGUGGAAUGUGUAGAUAUCGGAAAGAACACCAAC